Molecule: ribosomal RNA, 496 nt
Filed under: uncultured bacterium
Lineage: Bacteria
Description: partial 16S ribosomal RNA
Rfam family: Bacterial small subunit ribosomal RNA
Source: RNAcentral
AUGAACGCUGGCGGCGUGCCUAAUACAUGCAAGUCGAGCGAACGGACGAGAAGCUUGCUUCUCUGAUGUUAGCGGCGGACGGGUGAGUAACACGUGGAUAACCUACCUAUAAGACUGGGAUAACUUCGGGAAACCGGAGCUAAUACCGGAUGAUAUUUUGAACCGCAUGGUUCAAAAGUGAAAGACGGUCUUGCUGUCACUUAUAGAUGGAUCCGCGCUGCAUUAGCUAGUUGGUAAGGUAACGGCUUACCAGGGCAACGAUGCAUAGCCGACCUGAGAGGGUGAUCGGCCACACUGGAACUGAGACACGGUCCAGACUCCUACGGGGGGCAGCAGUAGGGAAUCUUCCGCAAUGGGCGAAAGCCUGACGGAGCAACGCCGCGUGAGUGAUGAAGGUCUUCGGAUCGUAAAACUCUGUUAUUAGGGAAGAACAUAUGUGUAAGUAACUGUGCACAUCUUGACGGUACCUAAUCAGAAAGCCACGGCUAACUACGUG